Molecule: long non-coding RNA, 206 nt
Filed under: Lathyrus oleraceus (garden pea)
Lineage: Eukaryota; Viridiplantae; Streptophyta; Magnoliopsida; Fabales; Fabaceae
Description: Pisum sativum (pea) long non-coding RNA (PSAT_LNC037120)
Source: RNAcentral
AAAAAGCAAAAAGAAUACCUACUAGAGCAAGUCCCUUGUCGGGGACAAGAAAAAAAUUAUGAUCUCAGGUAAUGUGUUAUGCCGCCAGAGCUCAUUGCUGGAAGCGGCGGAGCACAAACCACCAUUCUCUCUUUCUCAACCUCCAGAUUCUAAAUUCAUCAAUAAUUUUCUCAAAUUCGCACUCUACAUCUCAAUCCUAAUACAAA